UGGGACUCUUGAAGUCUUAGUGGCGCAGCUAACGCACUAAGUAGACCGCCUGGGGAGUACGGCCGCAAGGUUAAAACUCAAAUGAAUUGACGGGGGCCCGCACAAGCGGUGGAGCAUGUGGUUUAAUUCGACGCAACGCGAAGAACCUUACCUGGCCUUGACAUGCAGAGAACUUUCCAGAGAUGGAUUGGUGCCUUCGGGAACUCUGACACAGGUGCUGCAUGGCCGUCGUCAGCUCGUGUCGUGAGAUGUUGGGUUAAGUCCCGUAACGAGCGCAACCCCUAUCCCUAGUUGCUAGCAGUUCGGCUGAGAACUCUAGGGAGACUGCCGGUGACAAACCGGAGGAAGGUGGGGAUGACGUCAGGUCAUCAUGGCCCUUACGGCCAGGGCUACACACGUGCUACAAUGGUGCGUACAGAGGGCUGCAAACCCGCGAGGGGGAGCUAAUCUCACAAAACGCAUCGUAGUCCGGAUCGGAGUCUGCAACUCGACUCCGUGAAGUCGGAAUCGCUAGUAAUCGCGAAUCAGAAUGUCGCGGUGAAUACGUUCCCGGGCCUUGUACACACCGCCCGUCACACCAUGGGAGUGGAUUGCACCAGAAGUGGUUAGUCUAACCUUCGGGAGGACGAU
This 630-nucleotide ribosomal RNA is filed under the name uncultured bacterium. RNAcentral's name for it is "bacterial SSU rRNA". It matches the Rfam family "Bacterial small subunit ribosomal RNA", at positions 824 to 1454 of the family's 1533-position model. The record is from RNAcentral.